This 1345-nucleotide ribosomal RNA is filed under the name uncultured bacterium. Its description in RNAcentral is "partial 16S ribosomal RNA". It matches the Rfam family "Bacterial small subunit ribosomal RNA", at positions 28 to 1380 of the family's 1533-position model. The record is from RNAcentral.
GACGAACUUUGGCGGCGUGCUUAACACAUGCAAGUCGAACGGAAAGGCCCUGCUUUUGUGGGGUGCUCGAGUGGCGAACGGGUGAGUAACACGUGAGUAACCUGCCCUUGACUUUGGGAUAACUUCAGGGAACUGGGGCUAAUACCGGAUAGGAGCUCCUGCUGCAUGGUGGGGGUUGGAAAGUUUCGGCGGUUGGGGAUGGACUCGCGGCUUAUCAGCUUGUUGGUGGGGUAGUGGCUUACCAAGGCUUUGACGGGUAGCCGGCCUGAGAGGGUGACCGGCCACAUUGGGACUGAGAUACGGCCCAGACUCCUACGGGAGGCAGCAGUGGGGAAUAUUGCACAAUGGGCGGAAGCCUGAUGCAGCAACGCCGCGUGCGGGAUGACGGCCUUCGGGUUGUAAACCGCUUUCGCCUGUGACGAAGCGUGAGUGACGGUAAUGGGUAAAGAAGCACCGGCUAACUACGUGCCAGCAGCCGCGGUGAUACGUAGGGUGCGAGCGUUGUCCGGAUUUAUUGGGCGUAAAGGGCUCGUAGGUGGUUGAUCGCGUCGGAAGUGUAAUCUUGGGGCUUAACCCUGAGCGUGCUUUCGAUACGGGUUGACUUGAGGAAGGUAGGGGAGAAUGGAAUUCCUGGUGGAGCGGUGGAAUGCGCAGAUAUCAGGAGGAACACCAGUGGCGAAGGCGGUUCUCUGGGCCUUUCCUGACGCUGAGGAGCGAAAGCGUGGGGAGCGAACAGGCUUAGAUACCCUGGUAGUCCACGCUGUAAACGGUGGGUACUAGGUGUGGGGUCCAUUCCACGGGUUCCGUGCCGUAGCUAACGCUUUAAGUACCCCGCCUGGGGAGUACGGCCGCAAGGCUAAAACUCAAAGGAAUUGACGGGGCCCCGCACAAGCGGCGGAGCAUGCGGAUUAAUUCGAUGCAACGCGUAGAACCUUACCUGGGUUUGACAUGGAUCGGGAGUGCUCAGAGAUGGGUGUGCCUCUUUUGGGGUCGGUUCACAGGUGGUGCAUGGCUGUCGUCAGCUCGUGUCGUGAGAUGUUGGGUUAAGUCCCGCAACGAGCGCAACCCUUGUUCACUGUUGCCAGCACGUUAUGGUGGGGACUCAGUGGAGACCGCCGGGGUCAACUCGGAGGAAGGUGGGGAUGACGUCAAGUCAUCAUGCCCCUUAUGUCCAGGGCUUCACGCAUGCUACAAUGGCUGGUACAGAGAGUGGCGAGCCUGUGAGGGUGAGCGAAUCUCGGAAAGCCGGUCUCAGUUCGGAUUGGGGUCUGCAACUCGACCUCAUGAAGUCGGAGUCGCUAGUAAUCGCAGAUCAGCAACGCUGCGGUGAAUACGUUCCCGGGGC